RNAcentral lists this ribosomal RNA (253 nucleotides) under uncultured bacterium. RNAcentral describes it as "partial 16S ribosomal RNA". It matches the Rfam family "Bacterial small subunit ribosomal RNA", at positions 524 to 776 of the family's 1533-position model. The record is from RNAcentral.
GACGUAGGGCGCGAGCGUUGUCCGGAUUUAUUGGGCGUAAAGAGCUCGUAGGCGGCUUGUCGCGUCGUUCGUGAAAACCUGUGGCUCAACUACAGGCUUGCGGUCGAUACGGGCAGGCUGGAGUUCGGUAGGGGAGACUGGAAUUCCUGGUGUAGCGGUGAAAUGCGUAGAUAUCUGGAGGAACACCGGUGGCGAAGGCGGCAUCCUGGACCGGCAUUGACGCUGAGGCGCGAAAGCCAGGGGAGCAAACGGG